GGACAACCUACCCCUCGGGUCGAGGAUAAUCUCGGGAAACUGAGGAUAAUACUCGAUAGAUCAAGAUUCCUGGAAUGGGUUUUGGUCAAAAUGUGAUAACGGCAUCUUUGUUAUUUUCGCCCAAGGAUGGGACUGCGGCCGAUCAGGCUGUUGGUGGGGUAAAGGCCCACCAAACCAGUAACCGGUACGGGCUUUGAGAGAAGGAGCCCGGAGAUGGACACUGAGACAAGGGUCCAGGUCCUACGGGGCGCAGCAGGCGCGAAACCUUCGCAAUGCGCGCAAGCGCGACGAGGUUAUUCCGAGUGAUUUCCGCUGAGGAAAUCUUUUCUCAGAUCUAAAACGUCUUGGGGAAUAAGGGGAGGGCAAGUCUGGUGUCAGCCGCCGCGGUAAUACCAGCUCCUCGAGUGGUCAGGGCGUUUAUUGGGCCUAAAGCAUCCGUAGCCUGCUCGGUAGGUCUCCUGUUAAAUCCAACGGCUCAACCGUUGGCCUGCAGGAGAUACCGCCCGGCUAGGAAGCCGGAAAAGCCGACGGUACUCCCAGGGUAGGGGUAAAAUCCUUUGAUCCCCGGAAGACCACCAGUGGCGAAGGCGGUCCGCCAGAACGCGCUCGACGGUGAGGGAUGAAAGCUGGGGGAGCGAACCGGAUUAGAUACCCGGGUAGUCCCAGCUGUAAACGAUGCGAGCUAGGUGACACGACGCCUUCGGGGCAUCGUGGUGCCGCAGGGAAGCCGUUAAG
RNAcentral lists this ribosomal RNA (735 nucleotides) under uncultured archaeon. Its description in RNAcentral is "bacterial SSU rRNA". It matches the Rfam family "Archaeal small subunit ribosomal RNA", at positions 102 to 819 of the family's 1478-position model. The record is from RNAcentral.